AAUGGUUUCGACGGGAAUGUGGAAGCUUAUGGUGCGUGUCGGGGACCGGGUGGCCCCGUAACUAACCCGGAAAACUUUUAGUUGCCAACGAUAACGUUGAGCUAGCACUGGCUGCAUAAGCCGGCGCCUUGACCAGCCCUGUCUGCAUGUUGGUUGAGGCGGCUAAACCCGCGGACUUAGCUUUGUCUCGCUCCUCCUUCGAGAUGAAGUGAAAUUUUAGGGAGGAUGUGCCAAAAAAAGCCUGCUCAUCGGCGCUUUUUGGGACGAGAAUAAAAGAUGAAACUACGCACGUAGACCCAUAUGUGGAACUUUUCCGGACGCGGGUUCGAUUCA
This 333-nucleotide transfer-messenger RNA is filed under the name Deltaproteobacteria bacterium. It matches the Rfam family "transfer-messenger RNA". Rfam says of the family: Bacterial tmRNA, also known as 10Sa RNA or SsrA, is named for its dual tRNA and mRNA-like properties. Its role is to liberate the mRNA from a stalled ribosome. To accomplish this part of the tmRNA is used as a reading frame that ends in a translation stop signal. Lineage: Bacteria; Pseudomonadati; Myxococcota; Myxococcia. The record is from RNAcentral. RNAcentral also lists the same sequence under 2 other names.